This 797-nucleotide ribosomal RNA is filed under the name uncultured bacterium. Its description in RNAcentral is "bacterial SSU rRNA". It matches the Rfam family "Bacterial small subunit ribosomal RNA", at positions 9 to 824 of the family's 1533-position model. The record is from RNAcentral.
GAGUUUGAUCCUGGCUCAGGACGAACGCUGGCGGCGUGCUUAACACAUGCAAGUUGAGCGAGGAUGGUUCGAGAGACUUAUGUUGAUUGGAACAUUCAAGCAGCGGACGGGUGAGUAAAGCACAAGGACUUGUCCGAAAGAGAGGGACACCUGCGGGAAACCGGAGCUAAUACCUCAUAAGCCGGAAGGUGAAAAGCAGAGAUGCGCUUUUGGAGAGACUUGUGUCCUAUCAGGCAGUUGGUGAGGUAACGGCUCACCAAACCGAAGACGGGUAGCCGGACUGAGAGGUCGACCGGCCACAUUGGAACUGAGAGACGGUCCAGACUCCUACGGGAGGCAGCAGUGGGGAAUAUUGGGCAAUGGGCGCAAGCCUGACCCAGCGACGCCGCGUGAGGGAAGACAGCCUUCGGGUUGUAAACCUCUGUUGCAGGGGAAGAAGGAAGUGACGGUACCCUGCGAGGAAGCUCCGGCUAACUACGUGCCAGCAGCCGCGGUAAUACGUAGGGAGCGGGCGUUGUCCGGAAUUACUGGGCGUAAAGGGCGCGUAGGCGGCGCUUCAAGUCGUCUGUCAAAAGCCGAGGCUCAACCUCGGUGCGCAGACGAAACUGGAGAGCUUGAGAAGCAGAGAGGCAAACAGAAUUCCUGGUGUAGCGGUGAAAUGCGUAGAUAUCAGGAAGAAUACCAGUGGCGAAGGCGGUUUGCUGGCUGCAUACUGACGCUGAAGCGCGAAAGCCAGGGGAGCAAACGGGAUUAGAUACCCCGGUAGUCCUGGCAGUAAACGAUGUAUGCUGGGUGUG